AUUCAAUUUCUACAUGUAACGUGUAUAGGAAGAGAACAUAUGGCACAAGUGAUCAAGUUUGCUAAAGCUAUUAUCAUCUUUAUUUUUCUAUUUCUGUCUUUAACCAAUGGUGUAUAUAGUACAUCAUGUACAUCUGACGAAGAAUGUAAGGGUUAUUGUUACUUUCUGUCUUUUUCUGCAAUAUGCGAACAAGGUCAUUGUAUAUGCACAUUUUGGUGAAGAGUGAAGUUGAAAACUACAAUAGUAUGUUAAUUACUAUUAAAUUUGUGUCUUUAUUUGUAGACCUAAUGUUGUUCAUCAAAAGCAUAUUAAAUAUAUCAUGCAAGUGAUGUUAUUUUUGUAUGCUCUAAAAUAAAUUGAGAAGACAAAGGUCACUACAUUCACUACGCCAAAUUUGAUAUUUUGUAGCGCCUAUUUUAAUAGCACUUUUGAGGAAAGUGCUAUUGAAAAGAAAAAUAAAAAUUUAUAAUAGCACUUUAUUGUCGAGCGCUAUCAUAAAAUGCUAAGAAUUCGAUUUUGAUAGCACUUUAGGAAAAAAUGCUAUUAUUAAACUUAAAAAAAGAUAGCACUUUUUUUAAAUGCUAUUAAUGUUCUUAACUAAGAUAGCAUUUCCUUUAAAAGUGCUAUUAUUGAUUUUUAUAAAAUAAAAAAAAGGGUGACUUUUCAUUUUGGCGCAUUUGGGUGACCUUCAAAACCAAAACAUACUUCGUGAAACCCUAUCACCAUCGAAGCCGUUCGCUUUCAUCACCAUCUUCGUUAACCCAUCCGACCAGAGCUUCAUCCUUUCACCGGUGAAACCCUAUCACCACGUGAAACCCCUUUUCUCAAACGCUUCACCAUCGAUUCAUCUCUAGUACGCUCAUCCAUCACCAACUUUCAGCCUUUGAAAUUAAACAAACACACACAUUCAAAAUAAGAAUAAGAAGAAGUUGAGGUGAAGAGCAAGCAUAAAGAUAACAAGAUAAGAACCGGACCGGAAUCACUUCGAUUGCAUUUAUUUGAAGUUGUUGAUCGAAGAGCGAAGCUGGCUGCCAGGGACAUAGCGGAAGAACAAUCUGAUUCCAAGUCUCCAGGUUUAGAUUUUAGUUCUUUUGACUUUUUCAUUUGAGUUUAUGGUAGAAGCCUCAAAUAUAGGUCCAAAAACAUUGCUCUAAUAGACAAAUACUCUAGAACUAGCAUGACUACCUGUUGUGCCUUUCAAAGCAUUAUCAUCUCUAAUAUCAGUUAGUUCUUUUUAGAAAAUUCCCGUGGGACUACCCUGUGUGUGUUGAGAAGGUCCAGUAAUGGAGGAAUACUAUACAUUGACAAUGCACGAGAUAACAUGAAUGACUAUCCCAAUUUUUUUGUAGUAUACAGAUUCAUGAAUUUGUACAACCUUUCUAAGCUAGAGGUAUAUGGAAAUUCAAGGAAUGGUUUUUGAAAUUGUAUGAAUCAUUAAAUAAUCUAUUUAGUUCAUGGAGAGUGAUCAUUUAAAUUUGAAUUAUUUAGUUCUAGCAUAGAUUAUCUGGAGAGAUUGGAUUGUUUUGUUUUAACUUCACUCCAAAUUCAUACAUAUACAAAUAUAAUUUAAUGAGUUAUGACACGUUAUUAUAAUCAUUAAUCAUCCCCUAACCUUAACUAAACUAACCAUUUGAUCAUAUUAAUCAUCCAGUGACUUUCUUUAAAAAUUUAUUUUCUUCUUUUCUCAACAACUAAAACUAAUAUAAAUUUAAAAAUAAAUACACUUUGUUUAUCUAUUAAAAAAAAGUAGAAUGGAUAAAUUGUUAGAAAUGAAGCUAAAGAAUACAUGUUGAUAUGAAGUGCAAAAAUGUAAGCCAAAACUUAGGUGUUCCGUUUCAUCCAUUCACAGCCUCAAGGUUCUAUUUUUCUUCCCUUAUCUACUACUUGAACAUCACUUGGCCCCACCUAAGAUUUAUGAUAUUCUUUUUUUUUUUAUAUAUUUAUAGUUUUAUAUAAUAAAGUUCCACUAAGGGCAGUGGCAGCUCUUAGUUUUAUAUAUAGAUUGAAUUCAUUUGUUUUAUCUCUGGAUGAGGAACUCUCUCUUUUGAUGUUCUAAACUUUUUUUUACUUCGGUAAGAAGUUUGUUCUUGUGCUGUGUUGUAUCUUCUUUUUGAUAUUGUUAGAAUAAACUGUACUUGUAUGUAUAAUUGCGCUGCUACAAAUGCAAUGCUUCCUGAUUUUGUCAUUUAGGAAAGUGUGCAAGUACUUUAAAGUCAAAUAUUGUUGUGUGUGUAAUUGCUAAUUCAAUGGUUAGAUUGACCAUGAGUUUGGCAAAAGUGUGGAAGUACCUUUAAAGUCAAAUAUUGUUAAACGUGUAAUUGCUAAGUAAUUAGUUAGAUUGACCAUGAGUUUGGCAAAAUUACUAAGUGGUUAGACUGACUUAUGCUAGCUAGCUUGUAUCCUAAAUAUUUGUAAAUUAAUAUUAAUAUGUGUGAAAUUAGAAAGGAGAAUGUAAAUGUUCGGAAGUCUACGAAGUGUCGGAAGUGUCAUUGAGUCCUUCCAAAUUACUAGAGUUUGUCAAGUUAUUAUAGUCAGACCCAAAAAGAAUAAGGGAUGACAGAUUCCUUACAGAAGGUGAGAUUUUUUCAGACAAAUUGUUUUUAUCAAUAAGAAUAUUUUGAAGUUUUUGAAGAGAAUCAAUUUGACUAGGUAUUUUUCCAAUCAGAUUAUUUCCCCUUAAGACUAAGCUUUUGAACUCAUAGCACAUUUGUUUUCAUAAAACAACCUGACAGGAACCCAUAGCCAAGAAGAAAAUAUGUUAGAAGAAUAUAAAUUAUAUGUAUGGCUUUGUUUGAUUAGUUUUUUACUCGCAGGUUUCUUUUUGUUACGUUAAAUAAUUCGAAGAAGACUUGUUAGAUCCACAUUAAAUGUUUGAUUAUUUUAUAUACUCUCUAUAUGAUUGUACCCGUGGGUUCAACGCUUUUGGUUCUUGAAGUGUGGUUACUACUUGGUGCUUUUUUUGUUGUCGUUUCUU
Molecule: long non-coding RNA, 2974 nt
Organism: Vicia villosa (hairy vetch)
Lineage: Eukaryota; Viridiplantae; Streptophyta; Magnoliopsida; Fabales; Fabaceae
Exons: 3
Source: RefSeq, a predicted model, not a curated record